CACCAAUCAAGCCUGGCUUGGUAUUGGGCCCCGGGGGUGACCCGGGCCUCAAAGUCUUCGGCUGGAAAGCUCUGAUCUCAGCGUCGUGGUUAAACAUUCGCGAAGAGAGGAGUUGACUGUGCCGUUAAACACAUCAAA
RNAcentral lists this unclassified non-coding RNA (138 nucleotides) under uncultured Mycosphaerellaceae. Its description in RNAcentral is "sequence contains ITS2". Lineage: Eukaryota; Fungi; Ascomycota; Dothideomycetes; Mycosphaerellales; Mycosphaerellaceae. The record is from RNAcentral.